AUACGUAGGGGGAGAGCGUUGUCCGGAAUGAUUGGGCGUAAAGGGAGCGUAGGCGGCCCGGUACGUCUGGAGUGAAAGUCCUGCUUUUAAGGUGGGCAUUGCUUUGGAUACUGUUGGGCUUGAGAGCAGGAGAGGUUAUCGGAAUUCCCGGUGUAGCGGUGAAAGGCGUAGAAAUCGGGAGGAACACCAGUGGCGAAGGCGGGUAACUGGACUGCAACUGACGCUGAGGCGCGAAAGUGUGGGGAGCAAACAGGAUUAGAUACCCUGGUAGUCCACACUGUAAACGAUGAAUGCUAGGUGUAAGAGGUAUCGACCCCUUUUGUGCCGGAGUUAACACAAUAAGCAUUCCGCCUGGGGAGUACGGCCGCAAGGUUGAAACUCAAAUGAAUUGACGGGG
RNAcentral lists this ribosomal RNA (397 nucleotides) under uncultured bacterium. Its description in RNAcentral is "partial 16S ribosomal RNA". It matches the Rfam family "Bacterial small subunit ribosomal RNA", at positions 523 to 918 of the family's 1533-position model. The record is from RNAcentral.